This 305-nucleotide unclassified non-coding RNA is filed under the name plant metagenome. RNAcentral's name for it is "partial contains 5.8S ribosomal RNA, internal transcribed spacer 2, and large subunit ribosomal RNA". The stretch from base 1 to 105 matches the Rfam family "5.8S ribosomal RNA", at positions 50 to 154 of the family's 154-position model. The record is from RNAcentral.
GAAAUGCGAUAAGUAGUGUGAAUUGCAGAAUUCAGUGAAUCAUCGAAUCUUUGAACGCACAUUGCGCCCUUUGGUAUUCCUUAGGGCAUGCCUGUUCGAGCGUCAUCUAAACCUUCAAGCCCUGCUUGGUGUUGGGUGCCAGUCCCGCCUCCGCGCGCGGACUCACCUCAAAUCCAUUGGCGGCCCCCGCGUCGGCCACGAGCGCAGCAGAAACGCGAACUCGUGAGCCCGUCCGGGCGGCUCCCAGAAGCUACACCCACCCAGUUUGACCUCGGAUCAGGUAGGGAUACCCGCUGAACUUAAGC